RNAcentral lists this long non-coding RNA (320 nucleotides) under Nicotiana benthamiana. RNAcentral describes it as "long non-coding RNA (NBEN_LNC031040)". The record is from RNAcentral. Lineage: Eukaryota; Viridiplantae; Streptophyta; Magnoliopsida; Solanales; Solanaceae.
AAGUAGAAGUGUGGUAAGGCCCCCAAGUAUCCACAUGUAUUAAUUGGAAUGGUCUAGUAGUAAUGAUACUGCUGUCAUGAAAAGGAAGUCUAGUCUAUUUGGCCAUGGGGCAGACAGAACAAGGAAAAGGUUGUUUAGAAGCAAGUGGAAAAGACAAACCAGAAAUAUGUCUCAUAUUUGCAAAAGGAGUAUAUGCUAGUCUUAAAUGCCAAAUGUAAUUCAUAUCAAUGGUAACAACAUUAUUACAAAUGGAAUUAUUACAAUUUGAGGCAUGCCAACAAUUUUGCUGUCAGACACAUUGUCAUCAUUACAAAAAUCAG